Long non-coding RNA from Gopherus evgoodei (Goodes thornscrub tortoise), 1296 nucleotides. RefSeq lists it as uncharacterized. The record is from RefSeq and is a predicted model, not a curated record. The transcript is spliced from 4 exons. Lineage: Eukaryota; Metazoa; Chordata; Testudines; Testudinidae.
CCGAACCGGAGAGAGCGACCACAGGGAGCGGCGUCUGUGUCACCAUCUCCUGCUGGUAUCGUAGACAGUUUUGGUGCUGAUGAACCCCUCCGGCAUGUGGUGUCCAAAUGCAGGAGCGCCUGGUGGGAUACCCCCACCAAAUGCACCAUAUUGUCCCCCUCCCUCUGGACCAUGCCCUGGGCCUGGCAUGAAUCCAUGCCCUCCCGUAGUCUGCCCUCCUCCCCAUCCUGUAUGCCCUGGGCCUGGUGGGCCCCACCCGCAUGGACACCACCCGCAUGGACAUCACCCGCAUGGACACCACCCACAUGGACCCCCAAUGCCCGGUGGACCUGGAUGCCCUCCUGGAUGCCCUCCUCCUCCUGGGUGUUGUCCCCCUGGUGGCCCUCAUGGGCAUCAUAAAAAGCACAAGCAUAAGAAGCAUGGCCAUGGUCACCAUGGACACAAGCAUGGAAGUGGAUCGAGCAGCAGUUCUGACUCGGAUUAAGAAAGUGCCUCCCACUGGCCUGGCUCACAUCUGUGGCACAGCAGCAGCAGAAGCCAAAUACUAUUUAAGAACAUCUGUUAGUUCUCUCCAGUUCACUCUUCUGCUGCCCUUUGCUUCCUCUUCUAAAUGAACCUCAUGUAACCGUGUGGCUAGUGAUUCUCUUCUGUUUGGUUUGUUCAAUUUCUGUCUGGAAGCAUUUUAAGCUCAUGACCUGGCUCGUUUCCCCUCUGUCACUGAAUAGAUUCCCCCCUCUUAUGUAGCGCCUCUGCCAGGUGGUGAUAGCAGCCAGCAGGGCCAUGGUCGAUACUUGGGAGUUCCUCUUCGCAAUGCUCGUCAGAACCGGUGUGAGCCCUGAGCCAGACAUUCGGGAAACUGCACAGCGCCCAGGUCGCCUGUACGAGGCAAUUCUCCCCCAUGCGCAAGCCCUGAGUCUGGCACAACAAACAGUGAUUUAAGGGGGGUGGGGGCCUCACUGCUGCUGUGUCUGCUCCCCAGUGCUCCAGCUCCUCCCAAGGUCUAAGGCUCAGUGAUUUCCAGUCUAGUGGUCACUGAGAAGGGACAAGGACUCUCUGUUGGGUCUAUGCAGCUUCAUCUUUAAUCGCUGGAGGGGGAGGGUCGAAUGAAAUCUGGGACCCUUAAACAAGGUCCUUCCUCCCCUCGCCCCAGAAACACCUGACCCCACCCCAUCUGCCCAGGACUUGGGAGUUACUUCACUACCCCUCACUUAGCGAGGAGAGUGGCCUGUCAAUCCUGGGGGGAUUCUGCACCAAAAAAUUAAAAUUUCUGCACGAUAUCUUAACAUUCUGCAAAUU